UANGGCGCAAGCGUUAUCCGGAAUUAUUGGGCGUAAAGAGCUUGUAGGCGGUUCGUCGCGUCUGGUGCGAAAGCCCAUCGCUUAACGGUGGGUCUGCGCCGGGUACGGGCGGGCUAGAGUGCAGUAGGGGAGACUGGAAUUCCCGGUGUAACGGUGGAAUGUGUAGAUAUCGGGAAGAACACCAAUGGCGAAGGCAGGUCUCUGGGCUGUUACUGACGCUGAGAAGCGAAAGCGUGGGGAGCGAACAGGAUUAGAUACCCUGGUAGUCAAGGGCGAAUUCGUU
RNAcentral lists this ribosomal RNA (283 nucleotides) under uncultured Bifidobacteriales bacterium. RNAcentral's name for it is "partial 16S ribosomal RNA". It matches the Rfam family "Bacterial small subunit ribosomal RNA", at positions 528 to 810 of the family's 1533-position model. The record is from RNAcentral. Lineage: Bacteria; Bacillati; Actinomycetota; Actinomycetes; Bifidobacteriales.